This 846-nucleotide ribosomal RNA is filed under the name Brevibacterium sp. RNAcentral describes it as "bacterial SSU rRNA". It matches the Rfam family "Bacterial small subunit ribosomal RNA", at positions 479 to 1321 of the family's 1533-position model. The record is from RNAcentral. Lineage: Bacteria; Bacillati; Actinomycetota; Actinomycetes; Micrococcales; Brevibacteriaceae.
CUGCAGAAGAAGUACCGGCUAACUACGUGCCAGCAGCCGCGGUAAUACGUAGGGUACAAGCGUUGUCCGGAAUUAUUGGGCGUAAAGAGCUCGUAGGUGGUUGGUCACGUCUGCUGUGGAAACGCAACGCUUAACGUUGCGCGUGCAGUGGGUACGGGCUGACUAGAGUGCAGUAGGGGAGUCUGGAAUUCCUGGUGUAGCGGUGAAAUGCGCAGAUAUCAGGAGGAACACCGGUGGCGAAGGCGGGACUCUGGGCUGUAACUGACACUGAGGAGCGAAAGCAUGGGGAGCGAACAGGAUUAGAUACCCUGGUAGUCCAUGCCGUAAACGUUGGGCACUAGGUGUGGGGGACAUUCCACGUUCUCCGCGCCGUAGCUAACGCAUUAAGUGCCCCGCCUGGGGAGUACGGUCGCAAGGCUAAAACUCAAAGGAAUUGACGGGGGCCCGCACAAGCGGCGGAGCAUGCGGAUUAAUUCGAUGCAACGCGAAGAACCUUACCAAGGCUUGACAUACACCAGACCGGUCUGGAAACAGUCCUUCCCCUUUGGGGUUGGUGUACAGGUGGUGCAUGGUUGUCGUCAGCUCGUGUCGUGAGAUGUUGGGUUAAGUCCCGCAACGAGCGCAACCCUCGUUCUAUGUUGCCAGCACGUCAUGGUGGGAACUCAUAGGAGACUGCCGGGGUCAACUCGGAGGAAGGUGGGGAUGACGUCAAAUCAUCAUGCCCUUUAUGUCUUGGGCUUCACGCAUGCUACAAUGGCUGGUACAGAGAGAUGCGAGACCGCGAGGUUUUAGCGAAUCCCUUAAAGCCAGUCUCAGUUCGGAUCGUAGUCUGCAAUUCGACUACGU